RNAcentral lists this long non-coding RNA (351 nucleotides) under Homo sapiens (human). RNAcentral describes it as "non-protein coding lnc-TP53TG3-46:1". Lineage: Eukaryota; Metazoa; Chordata; Mammalia; Primates; Hominidae. The record is from RNAcentral.
AUGGACACGUUUUGCUCCACACUCCUGCUGCUGACCACCCCUUCCUGGGUCUUGUCCUAGGUCACCUUGAAGGAGUCUGGUCCUGUGCUGGUGAAACCCACAGAGACCCUCACGCUGACCUGCACUCUCUCUGGGUUCUCACUCAGCACUUCUGGAAUGGGUAUGAGCUGGAUCCGUCAGCCCCCAGGGAAGGCCCUGGAGUGGCUUGCUCACAUUUUUUCGAAUGACUAAAAAUCCUACAGCACGUCUCUGAAGAACAGGCUCAUCAUCUCCAAGGACACCUCCAAAAGCCAGGUGGUCCUUACCAUGACCAACAUGGACCCUGUGGACACAGCCACGUAUUACUGUGCA